RNAcentral lists this ribosomal RNA (1376 nucleotides) under uncultured Halobiforma sp. Its description in RNAcentral is "bacterial SSU rRNA". It matches the Rfam family "Archaeal small subunit ribosomal RNA". The record is from RNAcentral. Lineage: Archaea; Methanobacteriati; Methanobacteriota; Halobacteria; Halobacteriales; Natrialbaceae.
UGCCGGAGGUCAUUGCUAGUGGAGUCCGAUUUAGCCAUGCUAGUUGCACGGGUUUAGACCCGUAGCAGAUAGCUCAGUAACACGUGGCCAAACUACCCUCUGGAGCGCAAUAACCUCGGGAAACUGAGGCUAAUGGCGCAUACGGCUCGGCACCUGGAGUGGGCCGAGCUCGAAACGCUCCGGCGCCAGAGGAUGUGGCUGCGGCCGAUUAGGUAGACGGUGGGGUAACGGCCCACCGUGCCAGUAAUCGGUACGGGUUGUGAGAGCAAGAGCCCGGAGACGGUAUCUGAGACAAGAUACCGGGCCCUACGGGGCGCAGCAGGCGCGAAACCUUUACACUGCACGCCAGUGCGAUAAGGGGACUCCAAGUGCGAGGGCAUAUAGUCCUCGCUUUUCUGGACCGUAAGGUGGUCCAGGAAUAAGUGCUGGGCAAGACCGGUGCCAGCCGCCGCGGUAAUACCGGCAGCACGAGUGAUGGCCGCUCUUAUUGGGCCUAAAGCGUCCGUAGCUGGCCGAUCAAGUCCGUUGGGAAAUCCGCACGCCCAACGUGCGGGCGUCCGGUGGAAACUGAUCGGCUUGGGACCGGAAGACCAGAGGGGUACGUCCGGUGUAGGAGUGAAAUCCCGUAAUCCUGGACGGACCACCGGUUGCGAAAGCGCCUCUUGAAGACGGAUCCGACGGUGAGGGACGAAAGCUCGGGUCACGAACCGGAUUAGAUACCCGGGUAGUCCGAGCUGUAAACGAUGUCUGCUAGGUGUGACACGGAAUUGGCGGGGGAGCACUACAACCGGAGGAGCCUGCGGUUUAAUUGGACUCAACGCCGGACAUCUCACCAGCAUCGACAGUAGCAAUGAAAGUCAGCCUGAUGAGCUUACUGGAGUUACUGAGAGGAGGUGCAUGGCCGCCGUCAGCUCGUACCGUGAGGCGUCCUGUUAAGUCAGGCAACGAGCGAGACCCGCACUCCUAAUUGCCAGCAACACCCCCGUGGUGGUUGGGUACAUUAGGAGGACUGCCAGUGCCAAACUGGAGGAAGGAACGGGCAACGGUAGGUCAGUAUGCCCCGAAUGUGCUGGGCGACACGCGGGCUACAAUGGCCGAGACAGUGGGAUGCAACGCCGAGAGGCGACGCUAAUCUCCGAAACUCGGUCGUAGUUCGGAUUGCGGACUGAAACUCGUCCGCAUGAAGCUGGAUUCGGUAGUAAUCGCCGUUCAGAAGACGGCGGUGAAUACGUCCCUGCUCCUUGCACACACCGCCCGUCAAAGCACCCGAGUGGGGUCCGGAUGAGGCCCGGUUUCCGGGUCGAAUCUGGGCUCCGCAAGGGGGCUUAAGUCGUAACAAGGUAGCCGUAGGGGAAUCUGCGGCUGGAUCACCUCCU